GAUGAAGAACGUAGCGAAAUGCGAUAAGUAAUGUGAAUUGCAGAAUUCAGUGAAUCAUCGAAUCUUUGAACGCACAUUGCGCCCAUUAGUAUUCUAGUGGGCAUGCCUGUUCGAGCGUCAUUAAGUCCACUUAAGCCCUGCUUAGUGUUGGGAGACUGCUCCAGCGGUGCUACCCUGUAGCUACCCUGCAGCUCCUCAAAGACAGCGGCGGAGUUGUGGUAUCCUCUGAGCUUAGUAACUUGUUCUAGCUUUCGAGUACACCACUUCCCCUGCCGUAAAACCCUUAAUUUUUAAUGGUUGACCUCGGAUCAGCUAGGAAUACCCGCUGAACUUAAGCAUAUCAAUAAGCGGAGGA
This 355-nucleotide unclassified non-coding RNA is filed under the name soil metagenome. Its description in RNAcentral is "partial contains 5.8S ribosomal RNA, internal transcribed spacer 2, and large subunit ribosomal RNA". The stretch from base 1 to 120 matches the Rfam family "5.8S ribosomal RNA", at positions 35 to 154 of the family's 154-position model. The record is from RNAcentral.